UUGGGAUUACAGGCGUGAGCCACUGUGCCCAGCCUCCAGCAUGAUUUUUUUAGGCCGUUCUUUUGUUUGAAAGAAUUCAACUAAGGAUCCACUCUGCCUGCCUGACCGGUUUCUUCCUUUCUUCUCUCUCAUCGGGUCCCGAGUUCCCAUGACUGCAGCUUCCAGAAGAGCAGAGCUUUGGUAUCCUACUCACAGCGCCAAAACUGCAGGGGCCAAGAUGCAAAUCUUCCGCACAAAAGACAGCUUUGCAGGGCUGCUUCUGUUUGCAGGCCCUCUGAACAGCCAUCUCAAAACAUGUCAAAGAAGUAUAUCUUGGGGAAAGAUACAAAAUUCUUGUGUGCAGCCUCUUUUGGACUCCAGCUCUUGUUCUCUCGCUGAAUCCCACCGCCACCCCUUCAAGUCAUCGGCUGUGAUUCACCUGUGGGUUUCUGAAGGCUAGAAGCUUCCACAAUGAGCCAGGAAACAAGUUCUGAUUGGCUGGGAACAGACCUCUGCUCCAAGAUUCAGGGCUGGCAGUAUUCCUUCUGUUCUGGUGGCUCGAUCUUCAUUGCUUUCCUCUGGACUUGUAAGUUAUUCCAACAAACCCCAGCUGCUCUGCAGUGAAAUGUUCCAAAUAAUUAAUAUUUCUGCAGGAAUUACCUUGUAAAAGAUAUGUGCUUUUAAGUAUUUGGUUAUUGUGCAAAUGUUUUUGACUACCUUUUGUGGCCAAUUUUCUCCUUCAGCGGGCUCAUGUAUAAUUUUAGAUAAAAGUACAAGGAAAUUAUGAUUCCAUAAUCAUAAGUCUACUUUCAGCAAUACACGUAUCUUCAGAGAAUCUCAGCCUCCCUGCAGCAUCCUCCUGGUGCACAGAAAAACUGCUGAAUUCUGGCAAGAUACUCAAAGGAUUCUGACGGGUGACCAUCUCAGGCCGGAGAUAUGCCCAACCAACUGGAAAAGCAGAGACAGCCAUGGACAGAUCUGCUGACGCUAAAGUUUAUAGACAGCUGAGGUGCAACCCAUAUAAUCACCCAGAUGUUAUUAGGCCAUGAUCAUUCUGUAGUAAGCUACCUCCCUUCUGUGUUUCCUCUCACCUGACAGCCUAUUGUGGGCACUUUCAAGGCCCCACUGUGUCCAAAUCACACCACCACCAAAGCUCACAGAAGCACGCUGGUAGAUUUCUCCUCUUUGGUGGUUUCCCAUGACCAGCCAAGGGAAAUACCCAACAAUCAUUCUCAGUGUGCACAGAUUUACCUUCAGCUUUUUUGGUUAUAUUGUCAUUAUUAUUUUCUUUGUCCAGUGGGAGAGUUAAGGGGCCUGCUAUGGACUGAACUCUGUCCCCCUCAAAUUCAUAUGUUGAAGCCCCAACCUUCAACAUGACUAUAUUUGAAAACAGUCCCUUUAUGGAGGUAAAGUUAAAUGAGAUCAUAAGAGUGGGGCCCUUGUUCGAUAGAACUGGUGUCCUUACAAGAAGAGGAAGAGGCUGAGUGCAGUGGCUCAAGCCUAUAAUCCCAGCACUUUGGGAAGCUGAGGCAGGAGGUACGCUUGGGCCCAGGAGUUCAAGACCAGCUUGGGCAACAUAACAAGACCCUAUCUCUACAGAAAAAAAUUAAAAAUUAACCAGGUGUGAUGGCAUGUGCUUGUGGUACCAGCUACUCAGGAGGCUGAGAUGGGUGGAUGGCUUGAGCCUGGGAGGUCAAGGUUGCAGUGAGCUGUGAUAGCACUGCACUCCAGCCUGGGUAACAGAGCAAGACCCUGUCCCUCCCCACACCACCCCAACUCCCCCCAAAAAGGAAGAGAUACCAGAGUGCACUCUCUCGAUCUCUCUCUCUCUCUUCCACGUGAGGACACAGAA
This 1831-nucleotide long non-coding RNA is filed under the name Homo sapiens (human). Its description in RNAcentral is "HSALNT0302364". The record is from RNAcentral. Lineage: Eukaryota; Metazoa; Chordata; Mammalia; Primates; Hominidae.